This 7249-nucleotide long non-coding RNA is filed under the name Piliocolobus tephrosceles (Ugandan red Colobus). RNAcentral's name for it is "lncRNA (ENSPTEG00000013020.1)". The record is from RNAcentral. Lineage: Eukaryota; Metazoa; Chordata; Mammalia; Primates; Cercopithecidae.
UUUUUAAAAACUCUCAAGCUACAUUUGUUAAUUUAAUUUUACGUACUCCUCUUUUUCAUACGAGUUUUAAUCGAAAAUAGCGAAGGUUUAUAAAAAGAACAUGACAUUUUACAAGUGCAUGAAUGCUUAUGUUAGAAUUCAUAUUGGUUUGUUUUUAUAAAUUUUUUUUUUUUUUUUUUUUUUUUUUUUUUGUGUAUAUAUGCAAACAUAAAUAUAAUCAUAUGGAUUAGUGUCGAGUGAACAUGCAAAUGUAGGUAUGUCAUAUGUGAAUUAAAUUUAAAAUACAAAAAUAUUAAAAAAAAAAAAAAAGAUAAUAAAUGAUUAAAUGAAUAAGUGAUGAAUAAAUGAAUAAGUGAUGAAUAAAUGAAUAAAUGAUGAAUAAAUGAAUAAAUGAUGAAUAAAUGAAUAAGUGAUGAAUAAAUGAACAAAUGAUGAAUAAAUGAAUAAAUGGAUAAAUGAUGAAUAAAUGAAUAAAUGGAUAAAUGAUGAAUAAAUGAAUAAAUAGUUAGGAAGGAAUAAAAAUAAACGAAAUAAAACAUUUUAAAUAAGACAAAAAAUUUAACUAAUUUAAUUUGAAUGUGUUUUUCUUAUUUUUCAUUUUUCUUUUUAUAUAUAUAUUUUUUAUGUAUAUUUUUUUUAUGUUAAUUUUUUUAUUUGCAAUUGAUAUUUGAUGUUGCUAUUUCAAAUUUACUAUUUGAUGUUUGAUUAUUUUUUUUAUUUAUUUGUUUAUUUAAGUAACACGACAUCGGAUAGAAGAUAGAAAACAUAAAUUAAGCACCGAAAUAAGCAGCAAAAAAAAAAAAAAAAAAAAAAAAAAAAAAAAAAUAUGUCUACUCGAGUUGGUAUUAAUUGUAUAUAGUCAUGUUAUAUAAAAUAUAUAGUUACAUAUCACUUUUUUUUUUUGUCCACAUUUUUGUUCAGUUUUUUGUUCAGCUUUUUGUUUAAUUUUUUGUUCAAUUUUUUGUUCAAUUUUUUGUUCAAUUUUUUGUUCAAUUUUUUGUUCAAUUUUUUGUUCAAUUUUUUGUUCAUUUUAUUUUUUUAUUUUAUUUUUUUAUUUUAUUUUUUUAUUUUUUUUUUUUNNNNNNNNNNNNNNNNNNNNNNNNNNNNNNNNNNNNNNNNNNNNNNNNNNNNNNNNNNNNNNNNNNNNNNNNNNNNNNNNNNNNNNNNNNNNNNNNNNNNUUUUUUUUUAUUUUUUUAUUUUAUUUUUGUCCUUGUUUUUAUUUUUUUUACCGUAGCAAAUAUGAUUAAAAAUGUCAUAUAUUUUAUUUUCAUAUUUUCAUUUUUUUUAAUCAUAAUUAAAUGUGAGUAUAUCACCAAUGAUCCAGCUAGUGUGUUGCUCGAAUUGGAGGGUAAUAAAAUAAGAAAUGAAAAAGAAGAAGCUAGCGAUGUUCAGACAGUGAAAAGUGUAGAAGAUAAUAACGGGAGCACUGCGGGUACUUCUUCCAAUACUCGCAACGGCGCCAAUACGAAUGGUGAACAUAAAAGUAACAGAGAAAACAGAACUGUAAAAGAGACUGGUGCUAGUGAUAAUGUUAAAAAUGUGUCAUAUGUAAAAAAUGAAAUGAUUACUUUUUAUAACAACUCUAAUACGGAUAGUGAUAUUUUAAAGACACGAUCUAGUACUUUUAUUAAAAACGGCAUAAAUGACAAUAAUAUGGGUACCACCAGUAAUGACAAUUUUAUCUCAGAAUACAACAAACGAAUAGAAGAGUAUAAUAACGUAUUAGGUAAAAUAAUAGUGAGAAGUUUGAAUGGGAAGAAGUAUAAUUAUUUUAACUUGUUAGAUGAAUAUUCACUUGGUACGAAAAUGAAGAAAGAAGCAUACGAAACGUUAAAAGGUUUAAUAAUGGUUAUUACUAAUAGUAAUUUUUUUAAUUCUAUUUAUAAUAAAGAAAUAAAUAAACUUUUAAAAUACGAAAUAAAACGAGAAACAUAUAUAAAACAUUUUAUUUUAUCUAUUUUCCAAUGGUAUAAUAAUAUAAAAAUAAUAAAAUCGAGUAGAUUUGAUAACAGUUAUUAUGAUUAUAUUCAUUAUAUCGAUGAGAAUAAUAUAUAUGCAUAUAAAUAUAUUUAUAAAUUUGUAUUAAAUUCACAUGUAUCUGAAAAUGUAUUUUUUUAUAUUGACUUAAAUAAAUUAUCUUUGAUUAAAAUAGUUGAUGUAUAUAGAAAAUAUAUAUUUUUAAUUAAUAAUAGUAUUCGUUAUUAUCCUAAUCAUAUGUACAUUACAGAACGUUUUGACGAUUUUGUUUAUAAUUAUUUUUUAUUUUAUAAUCAUUACUAUUUUAAUAAACAUAAAGGUUUAUUAAAUAAAGAAAUAUGGACAAAUAAAAUAAAAAAAAAAAAUAAUAUAGUAUAUAAGAAAUUAACAAAAUUAAAUCCUGAUUUUAUUAUUUAUGAAUUAAAAAAUGUUAAUAAUAUAGAUAACAUUUAUGUAGAAAAGGAAAUUUUUUUAAUGUUUUCUUAUUUUAACGACUUCUUAACUGAUUUAUUAAAUGAGUUGUAUAACGAGUGUUAUAUGAAUAGGUUGAGAAGUAAACUAAAAGAUAAGAAUGUUACGCGUGACCUAAAUGAGAGUGAUAUAAGAACAACUGAAAAGAAUGAGCAGAAAAAGAAUAACAUUAGUGAUGGUGUUCACAUGUAUCUCGUCGAAGGAGAGCAUAAGAAUACUGCUAAUGGUAGUAGUGGUAGUAGUAAUAGUACUAGUAGUAGUAAUAGUAAUAGUAGUAGUAGUAGUAGUAGUAGUAGUAGUAGUAAUAGUAGUAGUUAUAGUAGUAGUUAUAGUAGUAACAAUAUGCACAACGGGACAAAUAAUGAUAAGUUAAGAAACGCAAACGGAGGCAACAAUUUUGUUAGUGGUCAUACUAAUGACGAAAGUGAUGACACCACAUCGUAUCAUGAUUUCCUAAACAGAGACCCAAACGAGUUAGAAACACAAGAUGACGAAGAUAACAUACCAUUUGAUAACAUCUUAGCUUCGUAUAAUAAUUUAAUAAAAGAUAAAAAUUUUAAUAAAUACAACAAAUAUAUUUUAAAAAAUAUGGAAAAGAUAUUUAAUAUGUCAAGAGAUAAGACAUACAACGAUUUAGAUAAUUAUAAAAAUAAUUAUGAAUUAUCAGAUGAUGGUUAUAUUGUUAAUAUUAAAAAUAAUCGACAAAUUCCUUUAAUUUUUAAUCCUGGGAAAGAUGUAUUUUUAUAUUUCAACAAAAUUAAUAACAAAAGAAAAAUAAAUUUUUAUAAUAUAUAUAAAAAGUUAUUAACGAUUAUUAAAUAUAAAAAAGAGAGUAAUUUUUAUGAUGGAUUUUGUCAAUGUGGUGUUAUUGAUAAUGUGUUUGAUUUUCACAAGUUUUCUGAGAACUUAUAUGUUGGAUUUGGAAAAUCUAUUCCCGAGGUGUAUGGGAAAAUCAAUUUAAAUGACACGACACCAGCUGCUGUUAAAACAAAUGAUCGUAUUCACGAUCAAUUAAAAUUAUUAAAGCGGGUAUAUACAGAUAAAUUAAAAAACGAAUCAAUUUGUGUGUUGUCAUUUUUGUUUUUAAUAGGAAUUAAUGAUGAUAAUGGGAUUUUACAAUUUCCUUUUGGAUUUCCUCGUAACGUUGAUUAUGCUGUAAAAUUAUUAAGAAAAGGCAAAAAUGGUUUAUGUAAUUUUUUAAGUGGUAUAUUAUAUCAUAUAAAUUUACCUAUAUAUGUAAACAAUUCUUCAAUUAAUUUAACUAACGAAUUGAAUGAAGACAUGUUACAUGUAGAUAAUUCUAACAAUAGUAGUAUUAAUAACUUUUUUUAUAUUUAUUAUACAAAUAAUACAAAACUAAAAAAUAGCGAAUUUUUAUCAAAUGAGAAUAGGAAGAUACCAAAUAAAGUAAAUAGUUUAAAAUCUAAAAUAACAUCUUAUUCGUUAGGAGCAACAAAAAAUGAUUUGUUUAGUCGUUUAGCUUUUACAAAUAAUAUCAUACGGUUAAAAUAUAAAAAUAAAACAAACAACAGUUAUUUAAAAGAGUUUUUUGAUUUUACUUUUGAUAAAACAAGUUUUAAAAAUAUGUUUUUAAAUCAUAAUAUAUCUCCGUUUUUGACUACUUGUGACCAUGUACUUAGUAACAUAUUAGCGACUGUAAUUGAUUCUCUUAAAAAUACAACUUCAAUUGAAAGCAAAAUAGUUGAACAUAAUAUAAAUGAUAAUAAUAUGAACCUAUUACAUAAUAGUAGAAAUAGUAAUAAAAAUCUUUUGGAAUAUUUUUUAAAGUUAGCUGACAAUAGGAACUCAUAUGCACUAGCUGCGUUAGGUGAGAUGUAUUAUUUAGGUAAUGAAAGUAUAGGUAUUGAGAGGGACGAAUUAAAAGCAUACGAGUUUUGGAAAAAAGCAGCUGACCAAGGCGAUAGUACAUCUGCUUUAUCCACUGGAUAUGCUUAUCUUGAUGAAUAUAAAAAGUUUUUAAAAAAAGAAGAAAUGGCAAAAAAAAUGAGUAAGGAUGAUUUGUUGAGUAUAAUAAAGUUAGAAAAAAGUGCGAGUGAUGGGUCUGAUAGUGGCGAAGCGUUUGAUUUUUUUAAGGCGUCAUCAGGUGUGCGUUAUGAAGAGAGCGGAUGGGUUGGUUCGGGAUCACCAUCACAACCUGAAGAGGGUGACAGGGUUGGUCAGAGUAAUGUUGCUACUCAUAGAAGUGGCAGUACAAGUGGCAGUACAAGUGGCAAUACAAGUGGCAAUACAAGUGGCAAUACAAGUGGCAAUACAAGUGGCAAUACAAGUGGCAAUACAAGUGGCAAUACAAAUGGUAGUGAAAGCACCGGUGAUGACGAAAAAAAACAAACAAACGAGUAUUAUACUUUUUUUUCCCAUAUAGGACAAGAUGAUUUAGAAAGUGUAGGAAACGCAAGGGAUGAUGGGCCUAGCUCCUUCGUAAAUCCUCCUGUAUAUGACAGUACAGAUGGGUUAGGAGCGGAUGCUACUUCUUCAGGUGGUAUGUAUGGGUACAGUAAUACAAAUGAUAUAAGGACAGGUGCCAAUUUAGGUACCAAUUCAGGUUCCAAUUUAGGUACCAAUUCAGGUUCCAAUUUAGGUUCCAAUUUAGGUGCCAAUUUAGGUGCCAAUUUAGGUGCCAAUUUAGGUGCCAAUUUAGGUGCCAAUUCAGGUGCUAAUCCAAGUGCUAAUCCAAGUGCUAAUCAAAACCAUUCGAAUACUAUGGGUAGUAAUACAGCAUCAAUAGAUUUUUUUUAUCCCAACGAAGGCGUGAAUGACAUAACAAAUAGAACAGAUGGAACAAACAGAACAGAUGGAACAAACAGAACAGACAUAAAUGACGAAGGAACUGAAAUAAUAAAAAAAUAUUUAGCUGAUUUGGAAAAUGACGUUCAAAUGUCAUUAGCAAACGCGAAAACAUAUUUUCAUAAAGCCAUAAGAAACAAUGAUGGUAGUAUUGAAAAUAUUUUAGCGAAAUAUAACAUUUAUAAAUUUGGAUUAGGAACAGAAAAGAAUAUUGAAUUAGCAGGUUAUUACUUAAAGCUAGCUGCAGAUAAAGGUGAUAAUGUGUCACAGAUGUUAUUAGGUCAUUAUUAUUCUGGUACGGAUAUUGGUAUAAUGCUAAGUGAUUAUAAUGAUAAUGACAGAAUUGGUAAUUUAAAAAAAGCAUAUAAAUAUUAUAGUUUAUCUGCAAAGAAUGGAAACAUUGUUUCUUUAUAUAAUGAAAGUAUAUUAAUACUAAAAGGUGUGAAUCCAAGUUAUAAAACAUUUAAUGAGAAAUGUGAAAAAACUAUUAGUAAUUUUCAUUUUAUAAGUAUGAUAAAUGAAAAGUUAUAUGGUUUAAACAAAUUAUUAAGAAGGAGUUAUGAGUUUAAGGAUUAUACAGGAGCAUUAUUGGUAGCAAUAAUUUUAGCAGAAUUAGGUGAACAUUCUAAUAAUGUAAAUGUAUCAUUUUUAUGGCAGUUGAAACGUAAAACGAUGGAAAACUUUACAGAACGGUAUAAUGUAGUGGAAGAUGUGUUACGGAAUUUGAGAAAUUUUAUUCGUAGGAGUAGCACUACUAUUGCUGAUGAUGUUGAUGGGGGGGGUGCUAGUGCUAGUGCUAGUGCUAGUCAGGGUGUCGACAUUAUUAUUACAAAAAAUAUACACAAAAAAAAUGAGCCAAAUGAAAUUGAUUUAGAAAAUAUAAUAAAAAAUAUAUAUAAAAAAGGAAAAACAAAAAAAAACAAAAAAAAAAAAAAAAGUGUUUACUCUAUCAUAAGAGACUUAAGUCCUCAUGAGUUUUCCAUUUUGAAAAAUUGUACAAUGGUUGUAACAAAUGAUAUGGUCGUAAAUGAUAGUAUUUUGGGUCGUAUUAAAUUUUGUGCUCAGUUGAAAAGGGAAUUGUAUGGUAAGGAUAUUAGCACAAGUAACCUAAUUGGCAAUAAAAAUGGAAGCCAAAAUGGAAACCAAAAUGGAAACCAAAAUGGAAGCCAAAAUGGAAGCCAAAAUGGAAGCCAAAAUGGAAACCAAAAUGGAAGCCAAAAUGGAAGCCAAAAUGGAAACCAAAAUGGAAGCCAAAAUGGAAACGAAAAUGGAAACGAAAAUGGAAACGAAAAUGGAAACGAAAAUGGAAGCCAAAAUGGAAACGAAAACCCCGAAAGUGACGACCACACUACUGAAGAAACAAACAAAUAUUUCGAUGAAUACUAUUACGAUAAAUACGAAUUAACGAAAAUGUACCAACAGAUAGAACUGUUCGAAGGGUAUGACAAAAUAAUAUUAAAAAAUUUAAACAAAUUAAAUAGUAAUAAAGAAAAGAUAAAAAAUAUAGAAAAAGUAAAAAGUUUAAUAAUGGAACAUUUUCGAGUUAGCGAGUUUUUACACUGCUAUUACAAGCCAAUAUCUUAUUAUCAAAUUAUGGUGGAUGAGGAAGAAAAUGAAAGGGAGAAAAGUCGACAGAAUUAUAAACCUGGAAUAGACAUGUAUGAAAAAACGUCUGAAAAAACGUCUGAAAAAACGUCUGAAAAAAAGUUCGAAAAAACGUCCGAAAAAACGUCCGAAAAAACGUCCGAAAAAACGUNNNNNNNNNNCGAAAAAACGUCCGAAAAAACGUCCGAAAAAACGUCCGAAAAAACGUCCGAAAAAAAGUCCGAAAAAACGUCUGAAAAUAACACAAACACAGGUACGUCAUAUUUAUAUGACACAAAGAAUUAUGAUUUAUAUGAUAUAGAGUUUUACCGUUAUGCUAGUUUAUUUGAAAAUGAAGAUAUAAAAGAAAUAUAUUAUUAUAAAAAAAAAUAUUCUUCUAACAUAUUUAAU